RNAcentral lists this ribosomal RNA (442 nucleotides) under uncultured bacterium. RNAcentral describes it as "bacterial SSU rRNA". It matches the Rfam family "Bacterial small subunit ribosomal RNA", at positions 958 to 1398 of the family's 1533-position model. The record is from RNAcentral.
AACGCGAAGAACCUUACCUGGGCUCGAAGCGCAGUGGAAUCCGGUAGAAAUAUCGGCGCCCCUUAAAAGGCCGCUGCGGAGGUGCUGCAUGGCUGUCGUCAGCUCGUGUCGUGAGAUGUUGGGUUAAGUCCCGCAACGAGCGCAACCCUUAUCCCUAGUUGCCAUCAGGUCAAGCUGGGCACUCUAGUGAAACUGCCUCGGAUAACGAGGAGGAAGGUGGGGAUGACGUCAAGUCCUCAUGGCCUUUAUGUCCAGGGCUACACACGUGCUACAAUGGUCGGUACAAACCGUCGCAAACCCGUGAGGGGGAGCUAAUCGGAAAAAGCCGGCCUCAGUUCGGAUUGGAGUCUGCAACUCGACUCCAUGAAGCUGGAAUCGCUAGUAAUCGCGGAUCAGAACGCCGCGGUGAAUACGUUCCCGGGCCUUGUACACACCGCUAGUC